GUGAAUCAUCGAAGUGCUGUAUCAUCAGAAAAGUGUGUUCUGGCUGGACGGUUUGUGUGUACUGAAUGCUGGCGCUUAGUUCAUGGAGUAUCCAGAUCAAGAUAUUUUGAACAGAAGAAAUCAUCUUCACCCUCAGCAGAUGGUAGAAAAGGGAUGAAGUAUGGCCACCAACGGUACUCCGAGUUGGCAAAUUAUUUGGAAAGUUUAGGCGGGAAACAAGGAGAGAAGCUCCCAGACAAACCGAAAAUCACCCUUCCCACUUGCCUGACUCAGAAGAACACUUACGAGGAGUAUGUUGCCAGCCACUCCAAUCCAUACUGUUUUAGGCAUUUCCAGAGGGUCUGGAAGGAAAGGUUUCCAGACAUGUGAGCAUCAGAGAAAAUCACCUUCACUGAGUGCAAACAAUGUGCAAUGAUUCGCCAAUUAAAGUCGCAACGACUGUCAAAGGAGCAGCUCCUCAAAGUUGAAGACCAAAAAGGG
This is a long non-coding RNA of Saccostrea echinata, 480 nucleotides long. RefSeq lists it as uncharacterized. The transcript has 3 exons. NCBI's taxonomy places the organism in Eukaryota, Metazoa, Mollusca, Bivalvia, Ostreida, Ostreidae. The record is from RefSeq and is a predicted model, not a curated record.